CAGUCGCCACGGGAAAACGAAGGGUGCAAGCGUUAAUCGGAAUUACUGGGCGUAAAGAGCUCGUAGGCGGUCUGUCGCGUCGAAUGUGAAAAUCCGAGGCUCAACCUCGGACCUGCAUUCGAUACGGGCAGACUAGAGUUCGGUAGGGGGGUCUGGAAUUCCUGGUGUAGCGGUGAAAUGCGCAGAUAUCAGGAGGAACACCGGUGGCGAAGGCGGGACUCUGGGCCGAUACUGACGCUGAGGAGCGAAAGCGUGGGGAGCAAACAGGAUUAGAUACCCCAGUAGUCCCUGUCUCUUAUAC
RNAcentral lists this ribosomal RNA (301 nucleotides) under uncultured bacterium. RNAcentral's name for it is "partial 16S ribosomal RNA". It matches the Rfam family "Bacterial small subunit ribosomal RNA", at positions 509 to 807 of the family's 1533-position model. The record is from RNAcentral.